AUGGGCGCAAGCCUGAUGCAGCGACGCCGCGUGGGGGAUGAAGGCCUUCGGGUUGUAAACUCCUUUCGCUAGGGACAAAGCUUUUUGUGACGGUACCUAGAUAAGAAGCACCGGCUAACUACGUG
RNAcentral lists this ribosomal RNA (125 nucleotides) under uncultured bacterium. RNAcentral describes it as "partial 16S ribosomal RNA". It matches the Rfam family "Bacterial small subunit ribosomal RNA", at positions 371 to 507 of the family's 1533-position model. The record is from RNAcentral.